RNAcentral lists this transfer RNA (85 nucleotides) under Elusimicrobia bacterium RIFOXYA12_FULL_49_49. Its description in RNAcentral is "tRNA-Ser". It matches the Rfam family "tRNA". Rfam says of the family: Transfer RNA (tRNA) molecules are approximately 80 nucleotides in length. Their secondary structure includes four short double-helical elements and three loops (D, anti-codon, and T loops). The record is from RNAcentral. Lineage: Bacteria; Pseudomonadati; Elusimicrobiota. RNAcentral also lists the same sequence under 2 other names.
GGAGAGGUGCUGGAGCGGUUUAACAGGCACGCCUGGAAAGCGUGUAUACCGCAAGGUAUCGAGGGUUCGAAUCCCUCCCUCUCCG